This 253-nucleotide ribosomal RNA is filed under the name uncultured bacterium. RNAcentral's name for it is "partial 16S ribosomal RNA". It matches the Rfam family "Bacterial small subunit ribosomal RNA", at positions 524 to 776 of the family's 1533-position model. The record is from RNAcentral.
UACGAAGGGGGCUAGCGUUGCUCGGAAUUACUGGGCGUAAAGCGCACGUAGGCGGCUUUGUAAGUUAGAGGUGAAAGCCCAGGGCUUAACCCUGGAAUUGCCUUUAAGACUGCAUCGCUCGAAUUGUGGAGAGGUGAGUGGAAUUCCGAGUGUAGAGGUGAAAUUCGUAGAUAUUCGGAAGAACACCAGUGGCGAAGGCGACUUACUGGACACAUAUUGACGCUGAGGUGCGAAAGCGUGGGGAGCAAACAGG